UCUUGAGAUGGUAAGAUUCUCCUGGAUUAUCUGGGUGGGCCCAACGUAAUCACAAGCUCCUUACAAGAGAAAAGCAGAAGUGAGGAGAGUCAGAGAAGAAGAUGGAAACAGAGUUUUGAGUGAUGGGGUCUGAAUGUGGAGGAGGGUGUCACAGCUCAUGGAGUACAGACAGCCCCUCAAAGCUGGAAGAGGCAAGGAACGUUAUUGUCCCCUGGUGCCUCUAGAAGAAAUGCAGCCAACACCUUGAUUUUGCCCUCAAAAGUCUCAUUUUGGACUUUUGAUCUUCAGGAGUAUAAGAUAGUACAUUUGUGUUAUUUUCAGCCAUGCAUUGUGUGGUGAUUUGUUCUAGCAGUCAUAGAAGACCAAUACAGAUGGCUUUCAUCACCUGGCCCUUGCUUAUUUCUCUUGUUCCAUCUGUCACCAAGACCCUGCUUUCUCUGAACCCUGUCCCUUUGGGAUUUUAUUCCAUAGGCGUGAUUGAUGAAAUCAUUGACAAUUGGUGAUUGAACGCAUGCUCCAGUCUAUGCUUCAUCCCUUUUCAAUGAUUUGUAGCUCCCAACAAGCAGGGUCCUUAGUUUAUGCUUUUUUUCUAUGAUCGUUUUCCUUGCCCCUUGCCUUCUCUCCUUUGUCUUACUACCUUUUCAGCCUGGGCUUUGAUGCAAGUUUCUCUGGGAAAACUUCACUGACUACUAGGACUGGGUUUGGUGCCCUUGCUAUAGACGGAUCCCCUUGCCACUUGUUUGUAGCACUGUUAAAUGCUUAACACACCGUAUUCCUGAAUUGUCCGGUUUGUAGUUAUCUCAGAGCUUAGCAUAUAUGUCAACAAAUGUUUGCAGAAUGAUCUUUCACUGGAAGUAGUGUAGCAGAGCUUGGCUAACUACAGAUGCUACAGUUACUAAGAUACAGAGAUACUAUAGAAUGGACCUUUACAGUGGUUGAGGAAAGGGACCCUAUCAUUUGAAAUGUCCUACAUAAACACUACCCAUCCCUUACAUUAAGGUACACGUAUUCACGCCACGAAGGAAGCCACACUUGAUACAAGCGGACAGUGAUGGUUAUGCUCCCAUCUAACAUAGCUUGCUUACAUUUACGGCCAGACUGAUGUCCUACCUGAUGUGCACUCCAAGUAAAAGUGGUUAAUGUCGACCAGGA
Leopardus geoffroyi (Geoffroy's cat) is the source of this 1152-nucleotide long non-coding RNA. RefSeq lists it as uncharacterized. The transcript has 2 exons. The record is from RefSeq and is a predicted model, not a curated record. Lineage: Eukaryota; Metazoa; Chordata; Mammalia; Carnivora; Felidae.